This 495-nucleotide ribosomal RNA is filed under the name uncultured bacterium. Its description in RNAcentral is "partial 16S ribosomal RNA". It matches the Rfam family "Bacterial small subunit ribosomal RNA", at positions 28 to 507 of the family's 1533-position model. The record is from RNAcentral.
GACGAACGCUGGCGGCGUGCCUAAUACAUGCAAGUAGAACGCUGAAGGAGGAGCUUGCUUCUCUGGAUGAGUUGCGAACGGGUGAGUAACGCGUAGGUAACCUGCCUGGUAGCGGGGGAUAACUAUUGGAAACGAUAGCUAAUACCGCAUAAGAGUAGAUGUUGCAUGACAUUUGCUUAAAAGUUGCAGUUGCUUCACUACCAGAUGGACCUGCGUUGUAUUAGCUAGUUGGUGGGGUAACAGCUCACCAAGGCGACGAUACAUAGCCGAACUGAGAGGGUGAUCGGCCACACUGGGAGGGGGACACGGCACAGACUCCCACGGGAGGCAGCCGUAGGGAAUCUUCGGCAAUGGACGGAAAUCUGACCGAGCAAGGCCGCGUGAGUGAAGAAGGUUGUCGGGUCGGAAAGCUCUGUUGUAAGAGAAUAAAGAGUGUGAGGGUGGAAAGUACACACUGUGACGGUAUCUGAACAGAAAGCAACGGCUAACUACGUG